This 253-nucleotide ribosomal RNA is filed under the name uncultured Eubacteriales bacterium. RNAcentral's name for it is "uncultured Clostridiales bacterium partial 16S ribosomal RNA". It matches the Rfam family "Bacterial small subunit ribosomal RNA", at positions 524 to 776 of the family's 1533-position model. The record is from RNAcentral. Lineage: Bacteria; Bacillati; Bacillota; Clostridia; Eubacteriales.
UACGGAGGAUGCGAGCGUUAUCCGGAUUUACUGGGUGUAAAGGGAGCGCAGGCGGCGUGGCAAGUCAGAUGUGAAAACCCGGGGCCCAACCCCGGGAGUGCAUUUGAAACUGCCAUGCUGGAGUGUCGGAGAGGCAGGCGGAAUUCCUAGUGUAGCGGUGAAAUGCGUAGAUAUUAGGAGGAACACCAGUGGCGAAGGCGGCCUGCUGGACGAUGACUGACGUUGAGGCUCGAAAGCGUGGGGAGCAAACAGG